CCGCCACCGGCGCCGCACGCGCAGGGGCUAAUCACCGCCGCGAUGUCCAUUAGCCGGGUGCUGCUUCCGGGUCUGCUGCUCCUGCUUCUGGGCGCGCCCGGCCCGAGUCUCGGCCGACCGCCGCGACAGCGAGAUGACGUCACCCGCCUCCGCCGCACAAACACAGAGCGGUCGAUCCUAUCCCGCGUGACGUCAUCUGAAGAAGUCGCCGACACCACCCUAGACUCGGAUGACUGGCAAGCCGGCCACUGGAGGCCUCUCCAGCGCCAGUCCGACGGCGACCUGGAGUCCGCCCGAACUCGGACCAUUCCCGAGCUGGCGCGUCCGCCGGCCGACGACAACAGCGCCGCUGUGGCGGCAGACAAAACC
Long non-coding RNA from Pollicipes pollicipes, 369 nucleotides. RefSeq lists it as uncharacterized. The record is from RefSeq and is a predicted model, not a curated record. NCBI's taxonomy places the organism in Eukaryota, Metazoa, Arthropoda, Thecostraca, Pollicipedomorpha, Pollicipedidae. The transcript has 3 exons.